GGGGAAUCUUCCGCAAUGGGCGCAAGCCCGACGGAGCAACGCCGCGUGAGGGAGGAAGGCCUGUGGGUCGUAAACCUCUUUUCUCAAGGAAGAAGUUCUGACGGUACUUGAGGAAUCAGCAUCGGCUAACUCCGUGCCAGCAGCCGCGGUAAGACGGAGGAUGCAAGCGUUAUCCGGAAUUAUUGGGCGUAAAGCGUCCGUAGGUGGUUUUACAAGUCAGUUGUUAAAGCCCACAGCUCAACUGUGGAUCGGCAAUUGAAACUGUAAGACUUGAGUGUGGUAGGGGUAGAGGGAAUUCCUAGUGUAGCGGUGAAAUGCGUAGAUAUUAGGAAGAACACCAGUGGCGAAGGCGCUCUACUGGGCCAUAACUGACACUCAGGGACGAAAGCCAAGGUAGCGAAUGGGAUUAGAUACCCCUGUAGUC
This 424-nucleotide ribosomal RNA is filed under the name uncultured cyanobacterium. RNAcentral's name for it is "bacterial SSU rRNA". It matches the Rfam family "Bacterial small subunit ribosomal RNA", at positions 356 to 795 of the family's 1533-position model. The record is from RNAcentral. Lineage: Bacteria; Bacillati; Cyanobacteriota.